RNAcentral lists this ribosomal RNA (225 nucleotides) under Triticum aestivum (bread wheat). RNAcentral describes it as "partial small subunit ribosomal RNA". Lineage: Eukaryota; Viridiplantae; Streptophyta; Magnoliopsida; Poales; Poaceae. The record is from RNAcentral.
AUGCAGCUGGACGAUGCGUGUUGCAGGAUCACAGAUAGUGCAGGCAUUGGUGUUAAUCUGUUUCUACUUUCUGUAUGGAGCUGGGAGCGUCUGCCUGUUGGACGCCAAAAGAGCGUCAGGUUUGAUCCUUGGUAUGAAGAUGAACAUGACGAAUUAUGGCGCCCCACUUGGGCUUACAAGUGGGAUGUGGUUUCCGAGAUGACGAACGAUGUCAAUAUCAUGUAA